CAAAGGAGGAAGCAUGGUAAUAUGCAUAUAAAUUGAAUUGGGGUCUCUAGGCCUGCCCUCUCUGAUGUCAUUCAGCUUUGAUUUGGGGGCAUGGUUCCACAGCAAAACA
Molecule: small nucleolar RNA, 109 nt
Organism: Rhododendron vialii
Lineage: Eukaryota; Viridiplantae; Streptophyta; Magnoliopsida; Ericales; Ericaceae
Product: small nucleolar RNA snoR100
Exons: 1
Source: RefSeq, a predicted model, not a curated record